Small nucleolar RNA from Erinaceus europaeus (western European hedgehog), 108 nucleotides. NCBI's taxonomy places the organism in Eukaryota, Metazoa, Chordata, Mammalia, Eulipotyphla, Erinaceidae. The record is from Ensembl.
AAGCUUUUUGGUGAGGAUGGCACCAAACUGCCUGUAAGAAUAACCUGGAGAGACUGACAGCACAGGUCAGCAUAAUACCUGUAGCUGCCACUCAGCUUCCCUAUAUUC